CUCCGUAGGGGGAACCUGCGGAGGGAUCAUUACUGAGUUUACGCUCUAUAACCCUUUGUGAACAUACCUAUAACUGUUGCUUCGGCGGGUAGGGUCUCCGUGACCCUCCCGGCCUCCCGCCCCCGGGCGGGUCGGCGCCCGCCGGAGGAUAACCAAACUCUGAUUUAACGACGUUUCUUCUGAGUGGUACAAGCAAAUAAUCAAAACUUUUAACAACGGAUCUCUUGGUUCUGGCAUCGAUGAAGAACGCAGCGAAAUGCGAUAAGUAAUGUGAAUUGCAGAAUUCAGUGAAUCAUCGAAUCUUUGAACGCACAUUGCGCCCGCCAGCAUUCUGGCGGGCAUGCCUGUUCGAGCGUCAUUUCAACCCUCAAGCUCUGCUUGGUGUUGGGGCCCUACAGCUGAUGUAGGCCCUCAAAGGUAGUGGCGGACCCUCCCGGAGCCUCCUUUGCGUAGUAACUUUACGUCUCGCACUGGGAUCCGGAGGGACUCUUGCCGUAAAACCCCCAAUUCUCCAAAGGUUGACCUCGGAUCAGGUAGGAAUACCC
Molecule: ribosomal RNA, 545 nt
Filed under: Colletotrichum sp. 2 ONH-2014
Lineage: Eukaryota; Fungi; Ascomycota; Sordariomycetes; Glomerellales; Glomerellaceae
Description: eukaryotic LSU rRNA
Rfam family: 5.8S ribosomal RNA (bases 205-358)
Source: RNAcentral